GGUGAGUAACACGUAUGCAACCUGCCCGUGGCAGGGGGAUAAGCGGGGGAAACCCCGUCUAAUACCGCGUAACGCGGCCUAGGGACAUCCCAAGGCCGCCAAAGGGAGCAAUCCCGGCCACGGAUGGGCAUGCGGCGCAUUAGCUAGUCGGCGGGGUAACGGCCCACCGAGGCGACGAUGCGUAGGGGUUCUGAGAGGAAGGCCCCCCACACUGGUACUGAGACACGGACCAGACUCCUACGGGAGGCAGCAGUGAGGAAUAUUGGUCAAUGGGCGCGAGCCUGAACCAGCCAAGUCGCGUGUGGGAGGACGGCCCUACGGGUUGUAAACCUCUUUUGCCGGGGAGCAACGGGCGCCACGUGUGGCGCCACUGAGAGUACCCGGAGAAAAAGCAUCGGCUAACUCCGUGCCAGCAGCCGCGGUAAUACGGAGGAUGCGAGCGUUAUCCGGAUUUAUUGGGUUUAAAGGGUGCGUAGGCGGAUCGUUAAGUCAGUGGUCAAAUUGAGGGGCUCAACCCCUUCCCGCCAUUGAAACUGGCGAUCUUGAGUGGAAGAGAAGUAUGCGGAAUGCGUGGUGUAGCGGUGAAAUGCAUAGAUAUCACGCAGAACCCCGAUUGCGAAGGCAGCAUGCCGGCUUCCUACUGACGCUGAAGCACGAAAGCGUGGGGAUCGAACAGGAUUAGAUACCCUGGUAGUCCACGCGGUAAACGAUGAGCGCUAGGUGUC
RNAcentral lists this ribosomal RNA (725 nucleotides) under uncultured bacterium. RNAcentral's name for it is "bacterial SSU rRNA". It matches the Rfam family "Bacterial small subunit ribosomal RNA", at positions 105 to 824 of the family's 1533-position model. The record is from RNAcentral.